Long non-coding RNA from Triticum dicoccoides, 219 nucleotides. RefSeq lists it as uncharacterized. The record is from RefSeq and is a predicted model, not a curated record. Lineage: Eukaryota; Viridiplantae; Streptophyta; Magnoliopsida; Poales; Poaceae. The transcript has 3 exons.
GUGGUUUUCUUCCUCCGCUGCUUAGCUCACUCUUCCUUCCCUUCUUCUUACAUGGUCAAUCAAGGCAGCCCUUGAAGGCCUUGAUCGUCCUUCAGCUCGCUGCUCGGGGAGCUUCUUUGCUCCUCGCUGCGCGUCGGCGAGACAGGUCCUGUUGUCAGCAUCUUCAACUGCUUUAGAGUACUGGUUGCUAGCUCUUCGGUUCUCCAUCUUCGUGUCAAG